Molecule: long non-coding RNA, 667 nt
Filed under: Drosophila guanche
Lineage: Eukaryota; Metazoa; Arthropoda; Insecta; Diptera; Drosophilidae
Source: RNAcentral
CUGGAAAUCAUUUGGAUUGUGCAAUAGGCGUUGAUUUGACUUUUUGACUGGAUUUUGAUUGGUUUUUAUUGGUGUUCUUUAGGGAGCAAAUAGUGGAAGAGAGUUCGCGAUUGAUCGGAUAAUAUGGGAACUUGAGGCUAACUUUAAUGAGAUUUAUGGGCAAAUGAGUUUUAUUUUAUGGAGUUCUUAAAACUUGAUCUUUGGAGUAGAUAAUGCCCCUCCAUCCAGCUCAAUUCUGUAUCCGACACUGCCUCAACUCCUACUACUCCUUUCAUUCGCUGUCUCCCAGGCUUCUUUGAUUACUCUAUUUGACAUUCUGUUCGUAUAUUGGCAUCUGGUGUCGCCCAGAACCGAAGGCAAACAUAAGGAAAAGGCUGGAGUACGCAGUAUAUAUGUGGAAUCUCGCAUUCAAUCGACUAACCCACACAAAAAUUUGUAUUGUUUGUAGCAAACUGACCAAAUGAAACGCAGCAAACGGCGGCUGGCUGAGGUCCGCAUCCAGUGCAAAUAUACAGAACGGGAAAUAGAGGAGGACACUGCCAGGACGACACGCGUAUAUCUGUGCAACCCCCACACACACACACACACACACAUAGAACAGAGGCACACGCUGCUUGUGUCCUGUAGUAUAUCCACUUCCUUUUUUUUUUUCUCUCUCUGUGUGUCU